Molecule: RNA transcript, 2141 nt
Organism: Carassius gibelio (silver crucian carp)
Lineage: Eukaryota; Metazoa; Chordata; Actinopteri; Cypriniformes; Cyprinidae
Gene name: protein DEK-like
Exons: 7
Source: RefSeq, a predicted model, not a curated record
ACUGUUAGCUGUAUAUUCAUUCAAUGCAACGAUAUUUCUUCGAAAGCAGAUCGUGGAUACAUUUUUAUCGUCCACAACCAAAAAUAUUAACAUCUUACCCUCGGCAGAAAUCGAGGACAGAGGGCAGACCGCACCGCGAGGGCAAUUUAGCGUUGGAGCUAAAAGUCAGGGGCUCGAGACCACCUAAAAUUACAUUUAUUUGAAAGCAUUUGUGAGAGCUCGAUUAUGAGUAAAUUAGUCCUUCCUGUCUGUGCAGCGCCUUGGAUUACUUCCAAACACAAAUAUAUUUUUGCUAUAAAUGUUCUGUUUCCAAUCAUUAUGUUUCAGUCAAAAUCCCAUACGCUGCUUUAUGGUGGUGGCAACUGGAGUGUCAAAGCUUAUUCUCCCUUGUGGACAUGCCACUGCUGUUUUAAAGCUCUGUCAGGUAAACUUUUCAUUGGCGUUCUGUUCUCACAUGAUGCACUUUUUCUGAGCUCGUAUCCCCGAAGCGCGCGCACACUCCGGAGCAGAGGGUGGCGGUAAUGCACCUAAUUACGCUGGAUUCCAGCCGCCGUUAAAAACCAAGUAGAAGAAGACGAAGGCAUUGUUGUUGGUUUAUCAACCUUCUGUCAGGAGCCAAGAUGGGCAGAGGAUCACCAAUUCCCCCAAUGCUGCGGCAAAAAAUAGUGGAGCAAUUUCAGAAAGGAACUUCUCGGAGAAAAAUUGCAAAGAGUUUGAAGUUAUCAUCAUCUACAGUGCAUAAUAUAAUUUUAAGAUUCAGAGAAUCUGGAACAAUCUCUGUGCGUAAAGGUCAAGGCCGGAAAAAAAGACUGGAUGCCUUUGAUCUUUGGGCUCUUAGACGGCACUGCAAAGACAGUGAAGGUACAUUUUCUGACAAAGAGGAAGAUGAUUCCAAGGAGGAAGAAAAAUCUCCUCCUCAGAAGAAAUCUUCAACCACAAAGUCUACAAAGAAAUCAGAAAAGUCCGAACAGACUACAUCAGAUGAAAGUGACCAAGACAUUCAUGAAAAUAAGAAUGCAAAAAAGACAAAAAAGAAACCUGCAACAAAGAGGAAAGCUCCAGCAAAGCCUGUCCCAAAAACCAAGAAAGCUGACAGCAGCAGCAACCGAGGGAAAAAGAAAGCAAGCAAGAGCAAGGAUGAAAGUGAAAGCUCUGAUGAUGAUCAGCCAUUGAUCAAGAUGGUUAAAAAAUACCCACCAACUCAAGAACAGUUAAAGGAGACAAUCAAGGAUCUCUUGAAAGAUGCCAACUUGGAGGAAGUUACGAUGAACCAGAUUACCCGAAAAGUGCAUAUUCACUUUUCUGAUCCAUUUUGCAAUUGUAUGUAACCAACUGAAGUCCAGUGAUUUUAAAUGGAUGAAAUCAGUUCCUCUUAAGUCCAUGCAGGAGUCCUAGCACAGGUUCAUGACAAGUAUCCUGACUUUGAUCUGAGCAGCAGAAAGGAAUUCAUCCGGGAGACAGUUAAAGGUUUGAUAUCCUGAAGUGAUGAAAAUGCCUUGUUUAAAAGGACAGUGAGGAUAAAGAUCUUUAUUACUCGAAACUCGAUUUUUAUUACACUGUUCAUUAUUGUGUAGUUAUUAUUUUUAUUUUAUAUAAUGUUUCUCAACUCUCUAGCAAAUUCUACUUUUUUGUAUUUAAAAAAUAUAUAUUUUCUAAAGAUUAUUAUUUAUUUUUUUUACGGUGAAUGAUGUGGAUGGUUUUGGUUGUUGAAACAUGCCACAUUUAGAAAUUGUUUGGCUUGUUAUUGUAUUGCAGAACAAUAUAAUAAUAAUAUUUUGGCAGUGUCAGCUUCCAUUUCAGUGUUAUGCUUUAAUUCUAAUUUGAAAAGAGCAAUUUUUUAAAAAUCUUUUUGCUCUUACUUCUAGAUGAUUUUUUUGUAAAUAUACUUUAUAUGUGCAUUAUUUUUCUUUCUCCUAUUUUUAUGCAAGUUAUAAAGAACAAACGUAUCUCUUAAUUUGACAUAUUACUCAUUACCUGCAGGUCAGUGUCCUGGGUUGACCUCUGUUUUAUACACUGACCUCAGUAACCAGUAUGUCAGUUAUCAUCAGACAUACGGCUCUGUUAUGUGUUACAACAACAACAACAAAAAACAGAAACAAAGAUGUUUAUUUUGAAAUAAAUUUAUUUUUCAUAGAAAAUAA